Molecule: ribosomal RNA, 1017 nt
Filed under: uncultured bacterium
Lineage: Bacteria
Description: bacterial SSU rRNA
Rfam family: Bacterial small subunit ribosomal RNA
Source: RNAcentral
UGAGGAAUAUUGGUCAAUGGGCGCAGGCCUGAACCAGCCAAGUAGCGUGAAGGAUGACUGCCCUAUGGGUUGUAAACUUCUUUUAUAAAGGAAUAAAGUCGGGUAUGUAUACCCGUUUGCAUGUACUUUAUGAAUAAGGAUCGGCUAACUCCGUGCCAGCAGCCGCGGUAAUACGGAGGAUCCGAGCGUUAUCCGGAUUUAUUGGGUUUAAAGGGAGCGUAGAUGGAUGUUUAAGUCAGUUGUGAAAGUUUGCGGCUCAACCGUAAAAUUGCAGUUGAUACUGGCAGUCUUGAGUGCAGUAGAGGUGGGCGGAAUUCGUGGUGUAGCGGUGAAAUGCUUAGAUAUCACGAAGAACUCCGAUUGCGAAGGCAGCUUGCUGGACUGUAACUGACGCUGAUGCUCGAAAGUGUGGGUAUCAAACAGGAUUAGAUACCCUGGUAGUCCACACAGUAAACGAUGAAUACUCGCUGUUUGCGAUAUACAGUAAGCGGCCAAACGAAAGCAUUAAGUAUUCCACCUGGGGAGUACGCCGGCAACGGUGAAACUCAAAGGAAUUGACGGGGGCCCGCACAAGCGGAGGAACAUGUGGUUUAAUUCGAUGAUACGCGAGGAACCUUACCCGGGCUUAAAUUGCAUUUGAAUAUAUUGGAAACAGUAUAGCCGUAAGGCAAAUGUGAAGGUGCUGCAUGGUUGUCGUCAGCUCGUGCCGUGAGGUGUCGGCUUAAGUGCCAUAACGAGCGCAACCCUUAUCUUCAGUUACUAACAGGUUAUGCUGAGGACUCUGGAGAGACUGCCGUCGUAAGAUGUGAGGAAGGUGGGGAUGACGUCAAAUCAGCACGGCCCUUACGUCCGGGGCUACACACGUGUUACAAUGGGGGGUACAGAAGGCCGCUACCUGGUGACAGGAUGCUAAUCCCAAAAGCCUCUCUCAGUUCGGAUCGAAGUCUGCAACCCGACUUCGUGAAGCUGGAUUCGCUAGUAAUCGCGCAUCAGCCAUGGCGCGGUGAAUACGUUCCC